AGUGAACGCUGGCGGUAGGCCUAACACAUGCAAGUCGAACGGCAGCACAGUAAGAGCUUGCUCUUACGGGUGGCGAGUGGCGGACGGGUGAGGAAUACAUCGGAAUCUACUUUUUCGUGGGGGAUAACGUAGGGAAACUUACGCUAAUACCGCAUACGACCUACGGGUGAAAGCAGGGGAUCUUCGGACCUUGCGCGAUUGAAUGAGCCGAUGUCGGAUUAGCUAGUUGGCGGGGUAAAGGCCCACCAAGGCGACGAUCCGUAGCUGGUCUGAGAGGAUGAUCAGCCACAUUGGAACUGAGACACGGUCCAGACUCCUACGGGAGGCAGCAGUGGGGAAUAUUGGACAAUGGGCGCAAGCCUGAUCCAGCCAUACCGAGUGGGUGAAGAAGGCCUUCGGGUUGUAAAGCCCUUUUGUUGGGAAAGAAAAGCAGCAGGUUAAUACCCCGCUGUUCUGACGGUACCCAAAGAAUAAGCACCGGCUAACUUCGUG
This 492-nucleotide ribosomal RNA is filed under the name uncultured bacterium. Its description in RNAcentral is "partial 16S ribosomal RNA". It matches the Rfam family "Bacterial small subunit ribosomal RNA", at positions 29 to 507 of the family's 1533-position model. The record is from RNAcentral.